This 254-nucleotide ribosomal RNA is filed under the name uncultured bacterium. RNAcentral describes it as "partial 16S ribosomal RNA". It matches the Rfam family "Bacterial small subunit ribosomal RNA", at positions 524 to 776 of the family's 1533-position model. The record is from RNAcentral.
UACAGAGGUCUCAAGCGUUGUUCGGAUUCAUUGGGCGUAAAGGGUGUGUAGGUGGCGCCGUAAGUCGGGGUGUGAAAUUUCGGAGCUUAACUCCGAAACUGCAUUCGAUACUGCGGUGCUUGAGGACUGGAGAGGAGACUGGAAUUCAUGGUGUAGCAGUGAAAUGCGUAGAGAUCAUGAGGAAGACCAGUGGCGAAGGCGGGUCUCUGGACAGUUCCUGACACUGAGACACGAAGGCCAGGGGAGCAAACGGG